GCGGUUUCCUAGAAAAAGUUCUACUUGGGGUCAAAAUACGGGUCGUCGCUACGGGAAUUUUGAUGGCCUUUAUCUUUUACGUGAUGUCGCAAAUGGAACAUCCGACUCUUGUCCCUAUAUUCACUAUUGUUGGGGGAAUCGAGACUCCUAAACUGGAUCCGGGGUCACUACCUGCC
Long non-coding RNA from Dermacentor andersoni, 176 nucleotides. RefSeq lists it as uncharacterized. The record is from RefSeq and is a predicted model, not a curated record. NCBI's taxonomy places the organism in Eukaryota, Metazoa, Arthropoda, Arachnida, Ixodida, Ixodidae.